GCCGAUGUAGCUCAGUUGGUCAGAGCAGCUGAUUUGUAAUCAGCUGGUCGGGGGUUCGAAUCCCUCCAUCGGCUCAA
This 77-nucleotide transfer RNA is filed under the name Tenuifilum thalassicum. RNAcentral describes it as "Bacteroidales bacterium 38-H tRNA-Thr". It matches the Rfam family "tRNA". From Rfam's summary of the family: Transfer RNA (tRNA) molecules are approximately 80 nucleotides in length. The record is from RNAcentral. Lineage: Bacteria; Pseudomonadati; Bacteroidota; Bacteroidia; Bacteroidales; Tenuifilaceae.